AGAGUUUGAUCCUGGCUCAGAUUGAACGCUGGCGGCAGGCCUAACACAUGCAAGUCGAACGGUAACAGGAAGCAGCUUGCUGCUUUGCUGACGAGUGGCGGACGGGUGAGUAAUGUCUGGGCAACCUGCCCAACAGAGGGGGAUAACACUUGGAAACAGGUGCUAAUACCGCAUAAUGUCGCAAGACCAAAGAGGGGGACCUUCGGGCCUCUUGCCAUCGGAUGUGCCCAGAUGGGAUUAGCUUGUUGGUGAGGUAACGGCUCACCAAGGCGACGAUCCCUAGCUGGUCUGAGAGGAUGACCAGCCACACUGGAACUGAGACACGGUCCAGACUCCUACGGGAGGCAGCAGUGGGGAAUAUUGCACAAUGUGCGCAAGCCUGAUGCAGCCAUGCCGCGUGUAUGAAGAAGGCCUUCGGGUUGUAAAGUACUUUCAGCGGGGAGGAAGGUGUUGUGGUUAAUAACCGCAGCAAUUGACGUUACCCGCAGAAGAAGCACCGGCUAACUCCGUGCCAGCAGCCGCGGUAAUUC
RNAcentral lists this ribosomal RNA (530 nucleotides) under uncultured bacterium. RNAcentral describes it as "bacterial SSU rRNA". It matches the Rfam family "Bacterial small subunit ribosomal RNA", at positions 8 to 526 of the family's 1533-position model. The record is from RNAcentral.